CCUACGGGUGGCAGCAGUGGGGAAUAUUGCACAAUGGGGGAAACCCUGAUGCAGCGACGCCGCGUGAGUGAAGAAGUAUCUCGGUACGUAAAGCUCUAUCAGCAGGGAAGAAAAUGACGAUACCUGACUAAGAAGCCCCGGCUAACUACGUGCCAGCAGCCGCGGUAAUACGUAGGGGGCAAGCGUUAUCCGGAUUUACUGGGGGUAAAGGGGGCGUAGACGGCAGCACAAGUCUGGAGUGAAAUCCCGGGGCUUAACCCCGGUACUGCUUUGGAAACUGUGCGUGUGGAGUGCAGGAGGGGUAAGCGGAAUUCCGAGUGUAGCGGUGAAAUGCGUAGAUAUUAGGAGGAACACCGGUGGCGAAGGCGGCUUACUGGACUGUAACUGACGUUGAGGCGCGAAAGCGUGGGGAGCAAACAGGAUUAGAUACCCUGGUAGUC
This 440-nucleotide ribosomal RNA is filed under the name uncultured bacterium. Its description in RNAcentral is "partial 16S ribosomal RNA". It matches the Rfam family "Bacterial small subunit ribosomal RNA", at positions 338 to 795 of the family's 1533-position model. The record is from RNAcentral.